GAAAAGGUUUGGACAAUUUUACCCCUGCCGCUGAAGUUGUGAAACGAUUUCGGGCACUCUUUUGUUGCCGCCGCCGCCGCCGCGCGCUGAAGACGGCGACAGAUUUGGGGAUGGAUUUGGGCUCGUGCUACCUCGGCGGCAACGCCGACGCGGUGGAGUUCUGCCCGCACCGCCCGUUCCGCCACGUGCUCGCCGCCGCCACCUACACGCUGCAGGAGCAGGACCGCGCGGGAAGCAUCUUCCUCUUCUCCGUCGACGCCGGCGCGGAGGACGAGUCCCAGCGACUCCGGCUUCUGCAUACUGUAGAGACCGCCGGCGUCUUCGAUAUGAAGUGGAGCCCCGCGUCGCCGCUGCUCGCGCAGGCCGACGCCCACGGCCGCCUCGCGCUCCGGCGCCUGGAGCAGGAGGACGGCUCGGAUACAGGCAUUGUCUUCACGGAUGUGUGUGCUGAAGAUAUUUCUUCUUCAAUGUGCCUGUACGUGGACUGGAACCAAACUGCUGAGUCUCUGUCUGUCGGAUUAUCAGAUGGCUCACUGUCUGUAGUCUCAGUGAGAGAGGACCGGUUGGAGAUAUCAGAACAGUGGGCUGCACAUCAAUUCGAAGUCUGGACAUGUUAUUUUGAUCGCACAAGGCCACACUUGCUGUACAGUGGAUCAGAUGACUGCUGUUUCACUUGCUGGGACUUGAGAGAAAGCCCAUCUAACAUUGUUUUUCGAAACAAAAAGUCUCAUAGUAUGGGUGUUUGCUGUUUUGCUCAGAAUCCAUUUGAGGGGAACAUGCUACUUACUGGAAGUUAUGAUGAAUUUCUCAGAGUUUGGGACAUGAGAUUAAUGGCAAAACCUGUUAACGAAAAGUUGAUAAAUCUAGGAGGUGGUGUGUGGAGGAUGAAGUAUCAUCCUAGUAUUGCAGAUGUUGUAUUGGCUGCAUGCAUGCACAAUGGGUUUGCCAUUGUUAAAGUAGGUUCUGGAGAUGCUACGAUAAUGGAAACAUAUUGCAAGCAUGAGUCCUUAGCAUACGGUGCGGAUUGGCAGAAAAGUGAAGGAGCGGAGCAGAAUGGAAAUUCUUCAGUUGUUGCUACUUGUUCAUUUUAUGACCGCCUUCUCCGUGUGUGGCAACCAGAGAACCUAGCGGAGCUUUAAGGCAAAGCUUCAUCUUACUCAAUUCAGGAUGACUACGCCAUGAAGCUAUUUCCUGAAUGAACCAAUAUAAUUUCAUUCAGGUUUGCAAGUGGAAUGGGAAUUUAUCUGGAGAAGGAAUAUAGUCAGAAACUCAGAAUUGACAUGUGCUGAGGCAAGAACAGCAUUGGUGUGACUGUGAGUUCCAGCAAAUGAGCACUUAUAACAGUAAACUUUGGUUUAACUUUUAUUGUCCUUUCUCCACUAAAACAUGCGGUGCUGGCCAAUAUAAAAUACCACCAUGCAGAUUCUCAGUUCUUGCAAUUUAUUUAGCUGGACAGUCAGCUGCAGACAUCAUCAAGCUCACCAGGGUAUAUAAAGUAGCCCUCUCCCCUCCCCUGGUUCACAGCCCCCAUAGAGGCAUAGACCAUGGAUGAUGCAUGGCUUGAGCAUCUACAUGGUUCUUGAGAGCUAAAGUAGAAUGAAGAUGGAGGGCGAGAGCUGAGCUCCUCCGCAAGAAGCAUUCAGUUUUAUGGUGCCUUUCCUGACCUCCCUGGUGGUCAGCUGAGGUACGCAUAAACCGGCAAGUCACAAGACGGCAAUGGCGAACUCCAUCUGGAGUCCUCCCGUUUUUCUUUACCUCUUAGUUGUGUCAGGCGAAAGCGAAAUGGAUAACUAAGUAUUCGUGUGUGUGAUGGAUCCAUGUAUACAUUGCUGGGCCCAUGUUUGUCUCAUGUGUACUCUAGAAACAUGAUACUAUGAAUGAAAGAUAUGACAAUACUUUGUUGCUCA
This is an RNA transcript of Panicum hallii, 1907 nucleotides long. It is a transcript of the gene named diphthine methyltransferase, with no coding region annotated. The transcript is spliced from 3 exons. NCBI's taxonomy places the organism in Eukaryota, Viridiplantae, Streptophyta, Magnoliopsida, Poales, Poaceae. The record is from RefSeq and is a predicted model, not a curated record.